Molecule: ribosomal RNA, 253 nt
Filed under: uncultured bacterium
Lineage: Bacteria
Description: partial 16S ribosomal RNA
Rfam family: Bacterial small subunit ribosomal RNA
Source: RNAcentral
UACGUAGGGUGCGAGCGUUGUCCGGAAUUAUUGGGCGUAAAGGGCUCGUAGGCGGUCUGUUGCGUCAGGAGUGAAAACUCGGGGCUUAACCCCGAGCCUGCUUCUGAUACGGGCAGACUAGAGGUAUGCAGGGGAGAACGGAAUUCCUGGUGUAGCGGUGAAAUGCGCAGAUAUCAGGAGGAACACCAGUGGCGAAGGCGAGUCCCUGGACGAUACCUGACACUGAGGCACGAAAGCCAAGGGAGCAAACAGG